This is a long non-coding RNA of Ostrea edulis (European flat oyster), 1024 nucleotides long. RefSeq lists it as uncharacterized. NCBI's taxonomy places the organism in Eukaryota, Metazoa, Mollusca, Bivalvia, Ostreida, Ostreidae. The record is from RefSeq and is a predicted model, not a curated record. The transcript has 2 exons.
AGACAGUCAAGUUUUCAUCGGCAGUAGAUGCGCAACAACUUGUCAGCAAACUAGUAAGGGAGAAUAAAGAGCGAUUUAAUACCGCGUCAGAGGAUGGGUGGUGACACAACCUUGCAGGAGAACAUUGUGGCCACAGCCUGUGUGUUGCUGGUAAUAGCUUUCAUCGUCUUCCUCUUAGUGGUGGCGCGAACUAUUGUUGUCAAGUGGCCCCGACUGUCGGAGGACUUGUUAGAAGUGGAGCCGAUCUGUGACCAGAUGGAGGUCUGGUCGGUACACCAGACUGAGGCCUGUACCAGCGACUCCACAUCUCCGGAAACGGAGAAAUUCAUUAAACAUUAAGAUGCUCGGCGGUGAAAUAUUCAUGUGCUUGUUCAUCAAAAUAUGUACUUCCGAAAUUUGAGUACAUAAAAAAAAAAAAAACCCACCUAAAAACUGAAAUACUGUAUGCAUGUGCAGUACCAAUAAAGAAAAUCACUGAAGGGCUUGCUUACGACUAAAUUUCUUUAGUGUAUUGGUUUUGCGGAGAUUCCCGCUAGCUAUCUACAAAGAUGUUUCAAUGUAUUGGAAAACAAUGAAAUAGUGUGUAUUUACAGUGCCAUCAAUCUGAUCAUUUAGUCGUAUUUACAACCAGACUACAGAUCUUUCGGAUAAGGAAUGGUUUUUCCAUCCCUUAUCAAGUGAACGCACUCUGCACAAUUGUGUAAUUUCAAUUAAAACUACAAUUCCAGAAACUGAUACAAUCAACAAAAUGGAUGCAUGUUGAUAAAAUGCAGCUUUGCUUCUCUCCUCACACCCGAGUAUGAAAUACAUAUCAUGCCUCACCAAAUAUUGCGUCUCAUCUCUUGUUGUUAAAAUCUGUUUAAUCCACAGCAUAGUUUCAAAUGUUUACAUCUUAAAUUGCUAAGAAUUAGUAUUUACGUUCAAUGUUUUCAUUAUUAUUCAAUGCAUAUGUCAAAAUUUAACUCCUGGUUUGUGCAAGUACUUUCAAUGUGAAAAUAAAAAUAAAUAACACAAUAUCCUGUAA